This 468-nucleotide ribosomal RNA is filed under the name uncultured bacterium. RNAcentral's name for it is "partial 16S ribosomal RNA". It matches the Rfam family "Bacterial small subunit ribosomal RNA", at positions 28 to 507 of the family's 1533-position model. The record is from RNAcentral.
GACGAACGCUGGCGGCGUGCUUAACACAUGCAAGUCGAACGGAAAGGCCCUGCUUUUGUGGGGUGCUCGAGUGGCGAACGGGUGAGUAACAAGUGAGUAACCUGCCCUUGACUUUGGGAUAACUUCAGGAAACUGGGGCUAAUACCGGAUCGGAGCUCCUGCUGCAUGGUGGGGGGUGGAAAGUUGCGGCGGUUGGGGAUGGACUGGCGGCUUAUCAGCUUGUUGGUGGGGUAGUGGCUUACCAAGGCUUUGACGGGUAGCCGACCUGGGUGGGUGACCGGCCACAUUAGUACUGAGAUACGGCCCAGACUCCUACGGGAGGCAGCAGUGGGGAAUAUGGCACAAUGGGCGGGAGCCUGAUGCAGCAACGCCGCGUGCGGGAUGACGUCCUUCUGGUUGUAAACCGCUUUCGCCUGUGACGAAGCGUGAGUGACGGUAAUGGGUAAAUAAGCACCGGCUAACUACGUG